ACGUGUAUUUUUUAUUUUUAUUUUUUUACAGUUUAUUUGCAAAUGAAUGCUUUCACACACACAAUCUUUUUCAUUUUUUACAGUGUAUCAGGCCUUAGUGGUAACAAGCAGCCAUAAACGAAGCCUGUUUUUGAGUGAAGAGGGACUUUACAGGGUAUUUCUGGUUCUUUUCAACCUGAUGUGUUUCCAUUAAUGUGACUAUCGUGGCUGUGUGAGACCUGAUUUUGAGCUACAGAUUCAACCUUUGAAGAUCAUUUAAGUCCUCUGUGUCCUAAUAACAAAGAGAUGUUGUAAAGGUCAGGAAAGGUUGAAAACUGCACCGUUUGCUGAAAGUCAAAGAUUCCUAGUGGCUCUUAAGCCGCGAUUCCACAAGCAUCUACUCGGCGCGGUACGGUUCGCCACUAUUGUAUCUGACUCGGCUCUCGGUUUAGUUGUUUUUCCAUAUAGCCUCAUCGUGGGUGGAGUCGUCAUAGCGCAGCGAGCCGAAAGUCCCUUAACGUCAUUUGCGUGCGACACAAACGCAACAUAACGGAGACGAUGGUUCACCUGCUGCUCGGUCUGUGGCUUUCUGUCAGAUUCAGAGUAAUAGAAGAGUCGGAGAAAGCUGAGAGCGGCGAGUCGAAACACUCAGGAGACACACAGGAGAGUUUGGGAGGCGAUGCAGCAGUAUCAAGCUGAAGACAAGAGGAUAUGAACUAGACGACAUAUGAGGAUGCUCUCUGAUGAGACUUCAUGGGAUUUACCUGAAGCAGCAGCACAUGAGCCUGCAGUGGCACAAGGUGUAGAGGAGGAGGACAGAGAUGUACAGGAUGCACUGAUGCAGUACAUGUCAUGCAAAAGUUAUUCUUCUCGUUAUACUUCCGUUUUUCUGUCCCCGGACCGCUAUCGUUUUCUUUAAUGCAAUUCUGACAAUAAACUUUUGUACCUUUUGCA
Amphiprion ocellaris (clown anemonefish) is the source of this 933-nucleotide long non-coding RNA. RefSeq lists it as uncharacterized. The transcript is spliced from 2 exons. The record is from RefSeq and is a predicted model, not a curated record. NCBI's taxonomy places the organism in Eukaryota, Metazoa, Chordata, Actinopteri, Pomacentridae.